This is an unclassified non-coding RNA of Callithrix jacchus (white-tufted-ear marmoset), 149 nucleotides long. It matches the Rfam family "Metazoan signal recognition particle RNA". Rfam says of the family: The signal recognition particle (SRP) is a universally conserved ribonucleoprotein. The record is from Ensembl. NCBI's taxonomy places the organism in Eukaryota, Metazoa, Chordata, Mammalia, Primates, Cebidae.
GCUGGGCACGGUGGCGCGUGCCUGUAAUCCCUGCUACUCAGGAGGCUGAGGCAGGAGAAUUGCCUGAACCCAGGAGGCUGAGGUUGCGGUGAGCCGAGAUCGCGCCAUUGCACUCCAGCCUGGGUAACAAGAGCAAAACUCCGUCUCAA